AUGGAUACAAAAUCCUAUCACUCUCUCAACUAUAAAAAGAAAGAGUAAACCACCUAAGCGAAGUACCGCUCCUCGUUAGCUAGCUAAGCGAUCCCCUUGCCGCGAUCCCGUGCCUCCGCCGGUGCCGAAGGCUCUGAAAGGAAACCAGAAAACAGGGGCGUGAGAACUAUUAAAAAUAGUUCCCAGUGGGCAAUUACUGACUUCAGUGAACUGCGCCACAAGGCCCAAAAGCUACAAAAAGAUGUCAGUGACAAACAAUAAAGUACAGCGAAAGGUAAGUAAAAUGUAACUUACUAUAACAUACAGUCUCUACUUAGCAUGAAUUGCAUAUGUAAUAAAGCAACAAAAUCAUGAAUGUACAUGGGUGUGUAUGACAUGCAUAAGCAUAGAAAUGCAACUAAUCCGAUGUCCUCAAUGCAGAAAUGGCAAAGGUGUCAUUAUUUACUAUUCUAGUCCAAGUCCACUUUAAUAGUUUUAAAGUUCACAUAGCACGUCCUGUCACUAAGUCCCAAUCAUAUAAGACCCACGCGAAGGCUGUCUGGCAUGCGCCGUGCCUAAUGGCCCCGUGGUAGUCAACAUCCCCACUCUAGGGAUGAGCCUCUCUCACGGCAAUCCACUUCGGCGCCCAAUCGCUCACGGGCGAGCAUAUGUCGCGAUAGCUAUCUUCGGAGUGCCGGCUUGUAGGGAGCAACCUCACAAGCAUGUGCGAAUGAGCACAAUGGCAAGCAAGCAAUGAUCCGUCUCAAGAACCAAGUCCUCAUGUCUAACAACAUGGAAUAUAUCAAGUAUCUCAAUGGCCUAUCUCUAUGUCAUCAUGUCUCUAACAUGGAAUGUAACAGAUAUGUAGUGGCCUAUCAACAUGUCUCUAUGUUGCAGUUUAAUAGUUUACUAGUUUCAGGUGCCCCUUGAUGACACUUUUGUUCAACGAGUUUCAAGCAUGGCAUUAAUAUGUUCAUGAUGCAUAAUUCACUCAACUCUAACAUGGAGACAUGUUCUCAACUUGCAAAACCAAGCACUAUCCAUAAUGCAUGCAAUCUACACAUAUAGCUCUACUAUAUGGAGUACAAAUUUUACGAUAUAUGAGGCAUGCAUGUUAAGUGUUCUAAAAUUCACAUAAAUCAUAUUUAGCAUGAAUUUGCAUUCAAAAAUACUUUACGAAAAGUUUAGAAGGCAUAGGGGCCAUUUUGCCCUAUUUUCAUGAAGUCAAACCCACCGAUGACAACGAAACUCUUCGUUUGCUCCAACGAGGGUAUCCUCCACACCCCUAGUACCCUAAAGGUAUAAGAACAAGUGUCACAUGAACCAAACGAACAAAACUUAGCUCAAUCAUUAAGCUAAUCACGCAUAGGUGAGGAAAACUCACCUCUAGUGCAAAAAUCUCCUCUAAGGCUUCAAAAGGGAGCUAGAAUCCUUUCAAUCCAAGCCAAAGGAAGAUUCUAAUCCCAACAAUCUAGCCUCAAAAGCCCUAGAUUCAAAAUGCCCAAAAUAAGCCCUAAAACCUCAUUCUAGGGUUUAAUUCCAAAAACAUCAUUAAAGUUAGGAAUUUAGAGAAAAGAACAAGUCAUUUACCUCUAAAAUACUCCAAUCCAAGCUCUAAACCAUCAAAGUCCAAAGAUUUCUCCUUCACCAAGCCUCAAAUCUAAGCUUCUAGCUCCAUCAAUGGUGGAAAAGCAUAAAAGAGGACAGAAAAGGGAUUAAUCCAUCAAAAUCCAUCUACAACGGAGAUCAAAUCCAAGUGGAGCAAGGUGGAGCUCCUCUCACCUUCUCCUCCUCAGGUCCCAGCACAAAAGAAGCCCUAAGGGCGUGGGUGCUGUUAUAGAUAGGCUACAAUCGCGAAAAACCCCCUGCAGUUCAAACUGCACGAAAUCUGCCUCCUUGUACCGGUACACGGGUUCUUGUACCGGUACAAGGCUCACGAAAAUGCAAACCCGAGGCUCGGGUUGUGGGGUACGCGGCUCUGUAUAGGUACAAGCCCGAUGGCUGUACCGGUACAACCAUCAACCUUGUACCGGUACAAGACCAACCUUGUUCCGGCACAAGCUCUGCUGCAGGCUAACCCGAGAGCUGUCCAAUGAAUCUAAUUUUUGGAUUUUUCCAAGCUUUAAACGACAAUUCUCGGGACUCGAACCAUAGGUCGGAACACUGUCAACGACCCACCAGAAAGUCUUGAAAAGUUCAGAACACAGUCAAUCACUCGAACCCCACAAUUUGCGAGGUCCAGCGCGUCACAAUAUCGCAUCGUGUCCGCCUUGAGAUCGAGGCAAACCAGUAACGAAGUCCAUCGCAAUAUCUUCCCAUUUCCAAACGGGUAUUGAUAGACUUUGAAGUUUCCCCGCCGGAAACCAGCGCUCCGUUUUUACUUGUUGGCACGUAAGACAUUGCGCCACGAAUUCCCCAAUAUCUUUCUUUAUGCCCGGCCACCAAUAUUGCACUUUUAGAUAUUGGUACAUUUUAGUGCCGCCCGGGUGUAUGCUAUAGGGAGAUUGAUGCGCUUCUUGCAUAAUCGUCUUGCGGAUACCUUCAUCUCUGGGCACGCACCAACGAUUUCGAAAUCGAAGUGCGCCAUCGGUCCCAAUGCCAAAAUCGUCGGCACUCCCGCUUUCGACUUCACUCCGCAGCUUUUGCAAAUAAGGAUCCGAAACUUGUAACUCUUUGAUCUUCUCCAACAAGGUCGGUUGCACAACUAAUGCGGGAAGUGUGGCCGGCACUCCCAGCGCUACUACUUCUAGACCUAACCGUUGCAUCUCUUUUUGCAACAACGGUUGAGGCGUGAUAGCCAUCGCCAAAUUUUCCAUUGAUUUCCUACUUAGCGCGUCGGCUACGACAUUGGCUUUUCCGGGGUGGUAUAGUAUAGUGACAUCGUAGUCCUUUAGUAACUCCAACCACCGUCGCUGUCGCAUGUUCAAUUCCUUUUGGGUGAACAAGUAUUUGAGACUUUUAUGGUCCGUGUAAAUCUCACAAUGCUCACCGUACAAGUAAUGCCUCCAUAACUUAAGCGCGAAGAUCACCACAGCUAACUCCAAGUCAUGAAUCGGGUAAUCAUUUUCAUAACUCUUUAGCUGGCGCGAAGCAUAAGCUAUCACUCGGCCACUUUGCAUUAAAACACACCCGAGACCCACAUACGAGACAUCACUGUACACUACAAACGUUUCCCCCGGAGUUGGCAAGGCAAGCACCGGGGUCGACGUCAACUUGUUCUUCAAUUCUUCAAAGCUCCGAUCGCAAUCGUCGCUCCACACGUACUUUACUCCCUUGUGGGUGAGGCACGUUAGUGGAGUGGUUAUUUUAGCGAAACCCUGCACGAACUACCGGUAGUAGCCCGCGAGUCGAAGAAAACUACAGACCUCCGCUACACUUGUCGGGCGAGGCCAAUCCUUAAUUGCCUCCACUUUCUUUAGGUCUACCGAGACUCCAUCGCCCGAUAUCACAUGGCCCAAGAAUGUGACCUCCGUGAGCCAAAAGUCACAUUUCUUCAACUUAGCAUAUAGCUUCACUUGUCAAAGUAUUUGUAACACGGUUCUCAAAUACUCCUCGUGUUCCUCCUCACUCGUCGAAUAGACCAACACGUCGUCUAUGAAUACCAUGACGCACCGGUCCAACAACGGGCGAAAGAUUCGAUUUAUCAAGUCCAUAAACGCUGCCGGGGCAUUAAUAAGCCCAAACGGCAUUACCGUAAACUCAUAAUGGCCAUACUGCGUAUGGUACGCCGUUUUGUGCACAUCGUUCAGCCUAAUCUUUCAUUGAUGAUACCCCGAUUGGAGAUCGAUCUUUGAGUACACCUUUGACCCUUGCAACUGAUCAAAUAGAUCAUCAAUCCUUGGCAACGGGUACUUGUUCUUGAUCGUUACUUUGUUCAACUCGUGAUAAUCUACGCAGAGUCGAAGUGUACCAUCUUUCUUCUUAACAAAUAGCACCGGAGCUCCCCACGGUGACAUGCUCAGCCUCACGAAGUCUUUAUUGAGCAAAUCCUGUAGUUGUGCUUGUAACUCCACUAGCUCCACCGGUGCCAUUCUGUACGGAGCCUUCGAAACUAGCACCGUCCCGGGAAUCAAGUCAAUAACGAACUCGACUUUUCGAUCCGGUGGCAGUCCCAGUAACUCUGCCGGAAACACAUCCGGAAAGUCACACGCGACUCGGAUAUUCUCAAGUUUCGGGUGCUCCUUUUGUGCAUCAACGAUUGUCACCAAAUAGGCCCUACAUCCACCUUUGAUCAUUUUCCUCGCCCACGCCGCCGAUAUGGUUGCCGAGAAGCGCUUGCUUUUACACGCGCGGUACACCCACUCUUCUUGGUUAGGCUCACGAAAUGUGAUCACCUUACUUUCACAAUCUAUGACCGCGUAGUACUUGGAGAGCCAGUUGAUCCCCAAGAUUACGUCGAAUCCCUAUAUUUUGUCUAGCACUAGUAGGUCAAUCGGCAUAAUCUAAUCACCUAUUUGAAUUGGACAAGCCAAACACUCAUAAUGCACACUUAACGAAUGUUUUGGGGCACUCACUGUAAUACAUUGGAUCUUAGCAAAUUGCAAGAUUCGAGUGUUUGAUUUGUGAGUGGAGCCUUUCCACAGUUUUUGGGAGGGCCGUUGAUAGUGUUCCGACCCCUGGCACGCACCCCGAGGAUGUUGGUUUGAAACUUGGUACCAAAAUCCAAAAAUUGGAUUCAUUGGACAGCUCUCGGGUAGCCUGCAGCAGAGCUUGUACCGGAACAAGACUGGCCUUGUACCGGUACAAGGGUUGAUGGUUGUACCGGUACAGCCAUCGGGCUUGUACCGGUACAGAGCCGCAGACCGCGCGACCCGAGCCUCGGGUUUGCAUUUUCGUCGGCCUUGUACCGGUACAGGAGCCCGUGUACCGGUACAAGGAGGCAGUUUUUGUGCAGUUUGGUCUGCAGGGGGUUUUUCGCGAUUGUGGGCUUUUUAUAACAGCACCCACGCCCCUUAGGGCUUUUUUUGUGCUGGAACCAGAGGAGAGGAAGGUGAGUGAAGCCCCACCUUGUCCCAUUUGAUUUUGAUCUCCAUUUUGCUUGGUUUUUGAUGGAUUUUCUUCUCUUUUGCCCUUUGGUGCCAUUUCCACCAUGGAUGAAGCCUCAAGCUUGGAUUUGGAGCUAAGUGGAGGAUAGAUCUUGGGAUUUAAAGGAUUUAGAGCUUGAUUUGAAGCUUCUAAGAGGUAAGCAUUACAUUAUCUUCCUCUAGAUUUGAGUUUUAUUGGAUUUCAUGAGAUGAAACCCUAGAUUGUGAUAUUAGGGUUUAUUUUGGGUAUUUUGAAUCUAGGGCUUUUGAAGCUAGAUUGAGUGGAUUAGAGGCUUCCAUUAGGUUGGAUUGGAUGAGCCCUAGCUUCAUUUUGGAGCUUUAGAGGAGAUUUUUGCACUAGAGGUGAGUUUUCCUCACCUAUGCUUGAUUAGCUUAAUGUUUGAGCUAGGUAUUGUUCGUUCGGCUCGUAUGACACAUGUUUCUAUACCUCUAGGGUACUAGGAGACUAGAGGACACCCUCGUGGGAGCGCACGAGGAGUUUCGUUGUCAUCGGUGGGUUUGGCUUCGUGGAAAUGGGGCGAAAUGGCCCCUAUGCUCUUUCUACUUGUUGUAAAAUAUUUUUAAAUUCAUUUCUAUGCUAAAUGGAAUUUAUAUGAAUUUUAGAGCACUUAAAAUGCAUGCCUUGUGUAUUAUGAAAAUUUCACUAUAUAGUAGAGCUAUAUGAGUAGAAUGCAUGCAUACGGGAAAAAUGUUUAUUUUGCAAGUGAGAAAUACAUCUCUUAUGAGGAUUAUGACUUGGAAUAUGUACUUUGGAACAUAGUUGCCAAGUUUUGACAUAGAGAGCAAGAGUGUCAUAAAGGGGCACUUGAAACUAGUAAACUAUGAAACUGCAACAUAGAGACAUAGUGAUAGGCCACUACAUAUUUGCUAUAUUUCAUGUUAGAGACAUGAUGACAUAGGGAUAGGCCAUUGAGAUACUUGACACAUUCCAUGUUAUUAGACAUAAGGACUUGGUACUUGCGACAGAUCGUUUGACUACUUGCCAUUGUGCUCAUUCGCACAUACUUGUGAGGGUCGCUCCCUACAAGCCGGCACUCCGAAGAUGGCCAUCGCGAUUCAUAUUCGCCGUGCGGGAUUGGCCGCCGAAGUGGAUUGCCGUGGGACAGGCUCAUUCCUAGGGUGGGGAUGAUGACUACCUCGGGGCCAUUAGGCUCGGCACCGGCCAGACAGCCUACGGGUGGGUCUCAGGGCCAUAGACAGCCUUCGGGUGGGUCUCUUCAGAUUUGACUUUGAGUAUUCAUUAUGACAUGUGGACAGAUGAUGACUUAGUGUACUACUUGGACAUUGACUAGAAUAGUAAACAACGGAACUUUACUAUUUCGCAUUGUGAACAUUAUGAUAGUUGGAGACUUUUACUUCAUGCAUAGUUGCUUUCAUACUUAUGCUAUUUAUGCUAAGUAGAGAUAUCAUGUCGUAGUAAGUUACAUUUUUACUUACCUUUCGCCUUUCUACUUUUAUAGUCACUGACAUCUUUUGUAGCUUUGGGCCUUGUGGUGCAUUCACUGAAGUCAGUAAUUGCCCACUGGGAACUAUUUUUAAUAGUUCUCACGCCCCCGUUUUAUGGUUUACUUUUUAGAGCCUUCGGCACCGGCGGAGGCACGGGAUCGCGGCAAGGGGAUCGCGUAGCUAGCUAGCGAGGAGCGGUAUAUGCCUAGGUGGUUUACUCUUUCUUUUUGUAGUUGAGAGAGUGAGAGAUUUCUGUAUCCAUGUAUAGAGACCACCUAUGUACCUACCUAUAGCACUUAUAUUUGGAGAUUCCUAUUGUAUUUACUUUAUAUUUUACUUAGUGGAUUUACAGUUAUCCUCAUUCCUUGCUGUAGCAUUUAGACAUUUAUUAUGCUCUGAUACUCCUAGAUGUCUUUUAUUAUCGCUUUUAUUAUUGUUGUUUUUAGACGCCUUAUGCGUUUUAGACGUAUGGCGGGUCUGGGCACGUGCCGGGCGGGCUUCCGCUGGGUCCCGGGGCGUGACACUCACCCACCAACAAACCUCGUUAUAAGACACCUCUAUACCAUGAGUUCGAGCAAAUGAUGCGCUAAUGAAUGAAUGAGUUGCGCCUGUAUCAAAACAAAGCUUUAGCUCUAAUGCCCUUAAUCAAAAUUAUACCUGCCACAACAUCAUCUAGUGCUACAGGCUCCUCCUCCACCUGAGUGACGAAAACCCAGCCACUAGGUGCUCGCGAUCCCUCCGGCUGACGCGGCACUGGUACGCGUCCAGCCGACAUAGCCGGUGGCAACCCCGCAAGCUGUCUUGGGAAAGACAGAACUGAUGCCGCCGUCGGUGCAGUCGACCCCAAUCCCGGACACUCCCGGAUAAGGUGUCUCGGUUGGCCGCACUUGAAGCACUUUUCUUCACGUGGCAGGCACAUCGCCGGUCAGUGCUCACCGCCGCAUAUGAUACAUCGAGGCGAUCUCCAACCCCUCGACUGCUGUCCAAGAUACCGAGGGGUUUCUUAGCAUUUGGCCCGCCGCCGGCACCACCCGCCGCCCGCUUCUUGCUCUUGUCCUUCAACUCGGCCAUAGCCUCUCGUUCCUCUCGCACGUGGGCAUCACCAUGCUUUGCCCAUAAUGCUCGGUCGAAGACCUCAGCAAAGGUCGUCAGCUUGAAUAUCUGCACAGCCCUAUAAAGUCCUGGCCGAAGCCCUCGCAAGAACCAAUUGGCCCGAUCCCGAUCGUCUCGAACCACAUCCGGGACGAAAUCGAUUAUGUGGGAGAACUCCUGCUCGUAGUCCGCUACCGAGCGGUCUCCUUGUCUUAGCUUGCGAAACUUUUCUUGCAGCUUCCGCUUUACAGUGUCGGGGAAGUAGUUCGCGAAUACCGCUCUCUUGAACUCCUCCCAUUGCAUAGGCGGAAGAUCGGCGGAUCGAUCCCGCUUUACUCGCUUCCACCACACCUCCGCCGCCUUCUCGACGCAAUGGGUGGCGAGGUGCACUUUAUCCUUCUCCAAGGUGUAUAUAUCCUCGAAGAGCGUUUCCAUCGAGUCAAUCCAUGCCUCCACCAUCUCCGGCUCCACCUUGUCCCCUUCAAUGAUAGGUGGGUUGAACUUCUUAAACAUCACGAGAGCCGCCAAUGCACGCUCCCGCUCCGCCUCUAUAGCUGCAUCAUCAGGAUUUGAGAUUCCCAAACCGGCCGGUACCAUCGUGACUGGCAAGCCCGCCCGGCGCGUGCCCAGACCCGCCAUAUGUCUAAAACAUACAAGGCGUCUAAAACAAAUCAAUAAAUAAAGCAGUAGAACAAAGGAAUCUAACGAUAUUAGAGCAAAGUAAAUAACUAUGUUCUACAACAGAGGGGUAAGUAUAAAACUAAAAUCCACUAAUAGAGGCAUAAAGUAGUACAAAGAAAAUCCCAAAUACAAAAACUAAACAUAAAGAGUAUAUAAGUGGUUUCUCUAUACAUGGUACUCAAAAUCUCUCUCUCUCUCUUUCUAAUACAAUAAAAUAAAGAGUAAACCAUCUAAGCUCAAAAGUAGCUCCCCGCUAACUAGCUACGCGACUCCCUUGCCGCGAUCUCGUGCCUACGUCGGUGUCGAAGGCUCUGAAAUAAACCAUAAAACAGGGAGCGUGAGAACUAUUGAAUAAUAGUUCCCAGUGAGCAAUUACUGACUUCAGUGAAAUGCGCCACCAGGCCCAAAAGCUACAAAAGAGGAUCAAUAUAAGUAUAAACGAAAGCGAAAUAAUGAACGAUUAUGGAACCAUGAGUACUAUUCUACCAUGAUAUCUCUACUUAGCAUGAACUGCAUAACUAAUAAAGCGACUACAACAAGUAUGUUCAUGAAUGUGAUUAACCUGUAUAAGCAUGAGUAUGCAACCAACACGAUGUCCUCGAUGCAAAUAGUAAAAAUGUCAUUAUUUACUAUUUAGUCAAUGUCCACUUGGCAUGACGAACGCUCCAAAAUGAAAUCUGAAGAGACCGGCCCGAAGGCUGUCUGGCCCUGAGACCCACCCGUAGGCUAUCUGGCCGGUGCCGAGCCUAAUGGCCCCGUGGUAGUUAACAUCCCCACUCUUGGGAUAAGCCUUUUCCACGCAAUCCACUUCGGCGUCCAAUCCCGCACGGCGAAUAUAUAUCGCGAUGGCUAACUCCGGAGUGCCGGCUUGUUGGGAGCGACCCUCACAAGCAUGUGCGAAUGAACACAAUGGCAAGUAACGAAAGAUCCGUCUCAAGUGCUAAGUCCUCAUGUCUAACAACAUGGAAUAUGUCACAACUCUCUCAUAGGCCUAUCUCUAUGUCAUCAUGUCUAAAACAUGGAAAGUAGUAGAUGUCCAUGGCUUAUUUCUAAGUCUCAAAGCAAUAGCCUCAUAGUGUGCUAGUCUAAGUGCCCCUUUAUGACACUUUCAUUUACUAAGCCCAAGCUUAACUCAAGUGUUCACAAAUGCAUAAUUGAGCCACUUUAAACAUAUGAACCAUGUUUCCAAAUGACUAAUGCGAACACUACCCAAAUGUAUGUAACAAUACCCAGAAUGCUCUACUAUAUAAAGUGCAAAUUUUCUUAUACAUAACACAUGCAAUUUAAGUGUUCUAAAAUUCACAUAAAUCCCAUUAAGCAUAGAUUUGCAUUUAAAAUGAUAUUACGACAAGUAUAAAAAACACGGGGGCUAUUUCGCCCCGUUUCAUGAAGCCAAACCCACCAAAAAUCGAAACUCUUCGUUUCGCCGAACGGAGGUGUCCACAAGUCUCCUAGCACCCUAAAGAUGUAGGAACAAGAGUUACACAAUCGAAACGAACAUCGGAAAGCUCAAUCUUAACCAUCUAAGCAUAGAGGGCAUAACUCACCUCUUGUGAUGAAAUCCCUUCUUAAGCUUCCAAAGAGAGCAAUAACCUUUCCAACUCAACAAAGGAAGGUUCUAAACCCAUCAAUUAGGUCUCCAAGCCCUCAAAUCAAAAAUCCCCAAAAUAAACCCUAAAAUCCAAAUUUAGGGUUUCUAACAAAAUCUACCAAAAAUAGGUCUAGAGAGGAGAAAUGAGCAACUAACCUCAAAAAAAGAUCCAAACCAGGCUCCAAAUGCUCUAGGGUUGUAGAUUGAUCCUUUAGCGAGCUCCUAGCCCAAGACCCAAGCCUCCAAUAGUGAGCAAAAGGGAGAGAAAGAUGCUCCAAGCUUCAAGAUCUUGCUCUCCUCCAACUUCUUCUUCUUCUUCUCCUUCUUCUUCUCUCUCUAGAAGUGUAAGGAGGGUGAGAAAUGAGGGAGUGAGAGGGUGAAAAUGGCCUUAAGGCCCUUAGAAGCAACAAAAUCCAUAUAAGCCCCUCAAAGAAUCACCCUGUGCACUACGCGAUCUGGGCAGUUUUCGUGCUGAGGGAUUGGUCUCCCUGACACCUGGGACCGGUCUCUCAGUUCGUCCCGCAAAACCAACGUUCGGGAAUCGGUCUCUCCCCGCCAGGGACCGAUCUCUCUGACCCUUCACGCAAAAUACGCGUUCGGGAACCGGUCUCUCCUAGCCAGGGACCGGUUCCCUCAAGCCCUGCCGCAGCACUAUUCUGAGGGGACCGGUCUCUCAUAUCAGGGACCGGUCCCCGAGAGUGAAAACUCUCAGGACUUGCCAAAACUCUAGAGAUCGAACUUUUAGGCCGGAAUACCAUCUACGGCCUUCCACCAAGUGUGGAAAAGUUCGGAGUACACAUCAAACACUCGAACCUCGCAAUUUGCAGAGGACCAGUGUGCUACAUUCACCCAUCCUAAAAAAGAGUUUCGUCCGCGAAACUCGAAAUGACAACAUACCUCAACGUUCCAUCUAAAAAAGCUGGGGAUAGCGCUCCCGCAGCGCGCUCUCUAGCUCCCACGUGGCCUCCCGCUCCCCGUGGUUGCUCCAAAGAACCUUCACGUACGGAAUAUCCCGAUUCAGUUUCCGCACCUCGCGAGCCAAGAUCUUCACGGGUUGUUCCUCGAAGCUCAAGUCGUCUCGCAACUCCACAGGUGUAGCAUCCAACACAUGAGUCGGGUCGAAGACAUACUUUCGAAGGACCGAUACAUGAAAGACGUUGUGCACGCCAGAUAAGUUCGGUGGUAGAGCAAGUCGAUACGCUAUCGGACCUACCCGUUCCAAAAUCUCAUACGGUCUAAUGAAGUGGGGGCUCAACUUAUCCCGAAUCCCGAAUCUCUUGAUCCCUCUAGUCGGCGAGACCUUCAAGAAAAUAUGGUGUCACGCCCCGGGACCGAUGCCAAUUUGGCCCGACCCGAGCACGUCAAACAGACGCCGAACGGACAGAGUUUCCCCUAUCCGCCCAAGGCUCAUCACAUGUACAUUUUCAUCAAUAGAGAAAAGCACUAGCGAAAACAUACAUAAACGGCUUACACGAGGGUAAGCAAUAGCCAUUAGUGAAAGAAAAAGGAAACUAAACAUUCACUUAUACUAUGAUUCAUUUUUGAUCAUAUACAUUGCAUUCAUCUGGUUCAUUUUCAAAUUCCUUACAUUUCAUUUCAUCAUUUCUUUCUUACAUCACAUUUACCUCAAAAUAAGCUUACAUCUUUUCCUUACAUCAUAUAGUCAUCAAUACAAAAGAUGAACAUAGGGCACUUUUACUACAAAAUGAAACGCGACUUUGGUGCCUCUGACUAAGGCGCGAUACCUUUACCUCGGUCGCCUCGCCGGCUCGCUUCGGUCCCCGGCUCUGUGAAAUAGUGGGUGAGUGAACUACAACAAAGUUUCCCAGUGGGUUUCGGCCUCAACAUCACCGUGACUUUCCACAGUAGGAUAUACUUCAGGCAUAAUAAUGAAAGGAUAAAGCAGGAUAUAGUAUACCAAUCUAUAAAAUGAUGCUAAUAUGCGUAACCAAAUAAAGCAGAAAUAGCUGGCAACAUUAAAUAAAUGCAGAUUAUGCAGAUUCUUUGUUCUUUGACUUUACUUUGUACUUUGUUCUUUAAUUCUCUGCUUUUUGUUCAUUGUUCUUAAUCUCAAGCUAACCCGGGGGUUUCGCCACAUUAACUUGCUUCAACAUUAAUCCAUCAUCGCAGAACUCACCAGCUAGGAUCGUCCUUCCGGGUUUACUCCAACCCGUGAUGCAUAAACUCCGGAGCGCAUCACCCGAGGGGAGCGCCGCCGUCGAGCACGGAACUCAUAGCAAGCUGAUCAUAUCCUUAACUCAAAGGAUUUAUAAGUUCAAUCAUGACUUUACACUAGCUCUAGUGUUCUUUACAUCACUUUAUGUUGCAAACUCAUGCAAUCACAUUCUUUACAUUUUCUUUACUCUUGCUAACUCUAGCAUUCUUGUUCUUAUUGCCCCACUUUACUUUAACUUUACUCGUUGUCAUUUUCAUCAUUCUUUACAUCACUUUAGUUCUUUACAUCACACUAACUCAUGUGUCAUUUCACAUUAGCUUUAUCGAAUGCCACUCGAUCUAUGUCAUUGUGCCACUCUGUUCUUUUGCUCACUUUGGGUGCUCACUUUUCUCUCAUGCAUACACAUAGGGUUUUCGACAUCACAAGUUCUUAAUCAUCAUAUUAUGCAAGUUGUACUCACAAUCAUGCAUCAUUACAUUUUCAUCAUUACUUUACCCUAAAAUGCAUGCAACAAAUAUGUAACAUAUGCUCGAAUGAAUGACACAUUAGGCAUAGAGGGAAGUUCAAUAAGUUUGAGAAGCACCACCUACCUCGUAGGCUUUCAAAGGUGCUCCGACGAUUUUCUUGGGAUUUUUAGUCGCCCGGUUCACUACCUGCGGCAUAACGAAGCCAAAUUAGGCUUAUUGGGCCAUAUCUUUCUAUAGACUUUUCGUAACGUUAAUCCGAGCGCACCGACGCGUCGGAAAUACCCCCAAUUAGGUUUUUGAAGGGUCAAUUUCACUUAGAAACCCCCAUGAGCAAAAGCCCCAAUUUGGUGCCCUAGCUCCAAUGCAUAUACAAAACCUAGGGUUUGAUCUCAUUGGGAAGCAAAAGUAGCUUUUCAUUAUACUCUAAAUAGUCCAUUAGAACCAUCCCUAGCUCACUCCAAACCCUAGUUUGGAUUUCACCAUGAGAGGUGGUCCAAGCUCACCUCAAUAGCAAACCAAGGUUUUGAUCUCUAAAGAAGCAAAGAGGAAGCUUCAAAAACUCUAAACAAUCCAUAAAAACCAUCUCCACUCUAAUCCAAACCCUAGUUUGGGAUUAAACAUGAGAAGGAGCAAAGCUUACCUCUAAGCUUGCUCCUUUCUUGCUCUAGAGCGAAAGAAGAUGAAGUUGCUUUACUCCAAUAGCUUCUUCUCCACUUUCUUCUUCUUCUUUUCCUUCUUUUCCUUCUCUUCUUCGUCUCCUUCUUUGCCUUCUAGAGAGAGAAAGAGAGAUGAGAGUGGGAGAGGGAGUGGAAUGAGAGAAAAGCCCUCAUGUCCCUCAUACAUAACCAUUGGGCUGCAAAAAUGCUAAUAAACCCCUCAACUUUUAUCUCUGUGCACUGCCUGGACUGGGCAGUUUUCGCAGGCAGAGACCGGUCUCCCCGAGCAGGGACCGGUUCCCGAAGGUCCACCCUGCGCAGCCAGAGCUGCUGCGCGCAAUGCGACCGGUCUCUCUCUGAUGGGACCGGUCUCUGGGGGACCGGUCUCUCAGGCAGAGACCGGUUCCCGAGAGCUGAUCUUCCAGGACUUAGCCAAUUUUUCGGCUGUCUCAUUCUGCACGCGUUCGGGGACCGGUCUCUCCCACCAGGGACCGGUCCCUGAGAGCUCAAAAUUCGCAGUUUUGCAGAAUUUGAUUCUUUAGCUCUCGAAAACCUCCCGUAACUCACUUUUAAUCAUUUUAACACCUUCGGACUUUCCGAAGUGUACCAUCCUCGCACUUUGGUCAAUUUGACUAAAGUUCGAUAUUUAUUUUCCGAAUUUUCGGUAUAUUACAUAUGGUCUCCAACUUGAAACUCCAAGUCUCGCCGUCGUCGAUCGGCGUAGCUCCUCUGUCUACUCUGUGCCGUCAAAAGUCGCUCCCGAGCAAUUCGAACCUUAUCCUCAGCUUCCUGGAGCACGUCAAGGCCUCAUGCCAAUCUCUCGCCGACUUCACUCCAAUGAAGUGGCGAUCUACACUUCCGUCCAUAAAGUGCUUCAAAUAGCGCCAUCUUAAUGCUUGCUUGAUAACUAUUGUUAUAAGCAAACUCCGACAUCGGUAGAUGCUGCAACCAUCCUCCCUGGAAGUCUAUCACACAAGCUCGGAGCAUAUCCUCUAAAGUCUAAAUGGUGCGCUCCGACUGCUGUAAUACACUGAAUCUUAGCAAAUUGCAAGAUUCGAGUGUUUGAUCUGUGCGUGGAACCUUUCCACAGUUUUUGGAGGGUCGUGGAUAGUGUUUCGACCCCUGGCACGCGCCCCGAGGAUGUUGGUUUGAAGCUUGGCACCAAAAUCCCAAAAUUGGAAUUUUUGGUCAGCCCUCGGAUGGCCUGCAGCAAGGCUUGUACCGGAACAAGACUGGUCUUGUACCGGUACAAGGGUUGAUGGUUGUACCGGUACAGCCAUCGGGCUUGUACCGGUACAGAGCCGCAGACCGCGCGACCCGAGCCUCGGGUUUGCAAUUUCGUCGGCCUUGUACCGGUACAAGAGCCCGUGUACCGGUACAAGGAGGCAGUUUUCGUGCAGUCUGGUCUGCAGGGGUUUUUUCGCGAUUGUGGGCUUCUUAUAACAGCACCCACGCCCCUUAGGGCUUUUUUUGUGCUGGAACCAGAGGAGGAGAAGGUGAGAGGAUCCACCUUACUCCACUUGGAUUCGAUCCCCAUUUGGGCUUGGAUUAAGGUUUUAAUCCUUCUCUUUUUGCUUUUUGGUGCUAUUCCACCCUUGUUGAAGCCUAGAGCUGGAUUGUGAGCUUGGUAGAGGGAAGAUCUUGGACUUGGAUAGUUUAGAGCUUGAUUGAAGCUUCUAAGAGGUAAGCAACAUGUUCUCUCCUCUAGAUUCAAGUUUUAUUGGAGAUUUUGAGAUGAAACCCUAGACUUAGGUUUUAGGGUUAAUAUUGGGCAUUUUGAAUCUAGAGCUUUUGGAGCUAGAUUGAGUGGAAUUAGAGGCUCCAUUGGGUUGGAUUGAUGAGCCCUAGCUUCAUUUUGGAGCUUUAGAGAUAUUUUGCACUAGAGGGUGAGUUUCCUCACCUAUGCUUAAUUAGCUUAAUGAUUGAGCUAUUGAUUGUUCGUUUCAUUCGAGUAACGCAUGUUUCUAUACCUCUAGGGUUACUAGGAGACUAGAGGACACCCUCGUGGAGGCGCACGAGGAGUUUCGUUGUCAUCGGUGGGUUUGGCUUCGUGGGAAUGGGGCGAAAUGCCCCUAUGCUCUUUCUACUUGUUGUAAAAUAUUUUUAAAUUCAUUUCUAUGCUAAAUGAAAAUUUAUAUGAAUUUUAGAGCACUUAAAAUGCAUGCCUUGUGUAUUAUGAAAAUUUCACUAUAUAUAGAGCUAUAUGAGUAGAAUGCAUGCAUACGGAAAAUGUGCUUAUUUUGCAAGUGGAAAUGCAAUUACUUAUAGAUCAUGACUUGGAAAUGUACUGGAACAUAGUUGCCAUGUUUGACAUAGAACAAGAGUGUCACACCCGACCCGGCCCUCUUUGGUCGGAUUCGGGCACGCCAACAGACCGCCGAACGGACAGGGUUUCCCCUGCACGCGACAGAGUCUCCCCUGUACGUUCAAAGCGUCGCAAUCAAUACAAUUACAAGAGGUUCCAAACAGGAACAAUUUUUCAACAACGAUUGCAUAAGGAAGGUAUCAAACAACAUAACACAUCCUAUGUUAUUACAAUCAUUCAUCUCAUCAUUUUACAUCGCAUUUUCAUUACAUUGAUUCUCAACUUCCAAAUAUACAAUCGAUUUCUAAACAUAAUAUUCAAACUCGAUUCUUUCUUUUCUUUCUUAUACCCCUAAGAAGCCGACUCAGGUGUGCUAUCUGGUCUCUGUGGUAGGGCGCUAACUACGGAGCUACGCCCUUUCCUCGCGCGCCGCGGCCGCUCGCGUGUGAACCUGUACCCCCAAAAACAACAACAGGGGUGAGACUAUUGUCCAUAGUCGUCAGUGGGUACAGCCACACCAAGGAAGAGCUCAACCCACCAGGUCCAAAGAGGCACUGCAACAUGUAGUACCAACAGAUAUAUACAUAUAACAUCAUGCAAUACAUGUUCAUGCCUCACAAAUAUGCAAAUUAUGCAACUCUUAGUCAUUUUUACAUUAGCCAUUCUUUAUUCUUUACUCUUUAUUCUUUAUUCUUUAUUCUUUAUUCUUUAUUCUUUAUUCUUUAUUCUUUAUUCUUUAUUCUUUGCUAAGGGCACUCGCACCUUAGCGCAUUAUACACAUUUGCCAUUCUUUAUAACAUUAACAAAGUUUCUCAAUUGUCAUUCUUUCUAUUUGUCAUUCUUUACAGGGUUACCUUUACCCUAGCCAACUAUGCCACUCGAUCUCGGUCUUGAGUCAAUUUAUAAUGAAUACAAGAUCCACUUUCAAUUCAUGAUUUCUUUGUUCUUUGUUCUUUAAUCUCACGGCUAACCCAGGGGUUUCGCCACAUUAACUUCUUCACAUUAAGUCCAUCAUCGUAGGAACUCACCAGCUAGGACCGUCCUUACGGGUCUACUCCAACCCGGAUGCCAAACUCCGAAGCGCAUCGCCCGAGGGGAGCGACCGCCCUCGAGCACGGAACUCAUAGCAAGUAUGAUCAUAUCCUUAACUCAAAGGAUUUGUAGUUGAAUCAUGGCUUUACACUAACUCUAGUGUUCUUUACAUCACAUUAGUUGCUAACUCUAGCAAUCACUAUUCUUUAUACCACAAUUAUCAAUUACUUUAGUAAUUGUCAUUCUUGAUAUCACACUUGUUCUUUUAUUGCCACACACUAACUCUAGUGUUCUUUAUGUCACAUUGGUUGCUAACUCUAGCCAUUAUCAUUGUUCUUUACACUUUGCUUGUUCUUUAUGCCACAUUACUUUACAUCGCCUCUAGCCAUUAUCAUUAUUCUUUACAUUACAUUGCUUUGCCUUGUCUCAAGCCAUUAUCAUUAGGUUCUCACAUUACACCUCAUGCAUACACAUAGAUUAUUUAGAUUCUUAAUCAUUCUAAUAAGCACGUGUACUCACAUCAUGCAACAUUACAUUAUUAUCAUCACAUUGUUUUACAUUAUCUUUAGCCAUUAUCAUUAUUCUUUACAUCACAUUUAUUCUUUGAUGUCCCACACUAACUCUAGUGUCCACUUUACCAUUUCCAAAUGCCACUCGAUCUAUGUUUAACAUGCAUAUAUUUUGUCAUCCAUUGGUAGUCAUUACUUAGCAUUUUAUGCAUUCGUUAACAUUUACCACAUGCAUUCUCGGUUAGAAUAAAUCUCAUACUUUCAUUUGACAUCUAUUUAGCAUUUCUAUAAUAUGCACAUGUAAAUUAACAUCAACUCAUGCAUUCAUUUGACAUCUAUUUUUAUCAUGCAUUCUUAAAUAGCAUACUUUAUCAUGCAUCAAUAGUAAACAUACUACACUUUGACAUGGAAAGCGACCUAAUCGCUUCGGUGAGCACGACCCACCUCAAAACGCUUUCCGAUUGCUUGUCGACACUUGCAAUCGGCCUCCCGCGGCACCCGUAACCCGGUUUGGCCCGAUCUUUUGCGCGACCACCCGAACGGCCUCCGAUCCACGAUCCAAAAAUUAAAGGUCUUCGGUUAUGUGCCACGAUGCUUCAAAUCCGUUUUCAUGAUUUUACGAUGUCGCCUCGGCCCUCCAGGCGGAAACGAAGCCUAAACGUCCAUUUCUUUAAUAACUUCGCAACGGCUCGACGAAUCGCCGAACCGUCUUCGCCAACGCGUUCGUUUACCUAGCAAUUAGGUUUACGAAGGGUCAAAUUAGAUCAAACCCUUAUAUUUUACAAAAUCCCAUUCGGAGCCCUAAUAUGCAAUUAACCUCAAAAUAAUCCAAAAUUAAAUGGAUCAACAUGCUACAAAGCUCAUUAGAGGCUAUUAGAACACUUAAAGCUAAGGAUUAAGCCAAAUCCCAAAAGCUUACCUCAAUGUGAACGCCGCGACGAAAAUACGCCGCUCCAACGGGCGCACGAAAGCUCAAUCCGUCGCCUCCAACGCGUUCGCAAGCAUCUUCUCCACCAACGCCGCGAAUUUGAGCGAUAAAUAUAGAGAGAUGAGAGAGCAAUCUAGAGAGAGAAAGAAGGGUUUCUCUCUCCCUUCUCCAUGCCCGCUUGGGUGGCCAUGGUGGUCGGCUGAAGGAGAAAGAAGCAAAAUGCUUCUUUAU
RNAcentral lists this long non-coding RNA (18138 nucleotides) under Ananas comosus (pineapple). RNAcentral describes it as "long non-coding RNA (ACOM_LNC036537)". Lineage: Eukaryota; Viridiplantae; Streptophyta; Magnoliopsida; Poales; Bromeliaceae. The record is from RNAcentral.